CCUGCUCGGAAACUCGCCCGCUCCGGACGGGCAGUGGCCGUGUGAGGACGUUCCCGUGCCCGGGGAAGCGCCCUUGCGGUUUGCCUGCCCGCGCCCCCCUGGAUAUCCCCGCCACCCAUGGCUCUCCAGCGCCUCAUGGCAGGUGUCUUUAUUCCAGAUGCCUUGGGAAAUGCGAGCCAGUGAUUCAGGAGAUGACAGUCCUCUCUUCCACAAGUGCCUUUAGUGGUCUCAUGCCUGGGACCCCGAUUGCUGUUUUCUGCCAUGCCAUGGAGAUCCAGGGAUUCUGGCCACUCCUGAAUAUCCUAUCUCCACAACUGAUAUGUCCAAUUCUGAAAAACAAAAUUUUCACUGAAUUCACCAUUAAGUCACAAAAUAUCCACGUAAAUAUUCAAAAACCUUCAUAUUAAAACAGGAAAGCAAGCAAAGGACUAUAAUUUCAAAAUGUGCAUGUAUUCUGAAGUGUGUGCUACUGUCCAUAAGAGUUGUCCAUAGUUCCUGAAAGAUCGACUGUGACUUUUCCACAGCUGAAGACCAGACUGCUAAUUUGCUAAUUUUCUUCCUGAGAGCAGGUACAGCACUUGACACUCAUCAUUCUUCUGUCUUUGUUUACCUAAAUGGGAAAGUAGAUACCAAUGAAGAACUGCCUGUCCUGAGAUGUGGAAGCUGGAGCUGCUGUGCCAGAAGCUGGCACUGCUGUUGAUGCUGCCUCACCAGCUGGCCCUGUCAGAGCUUUAUCAACAGAGAAGGGGCUAGAAAAGUUCCAAACCUCACUGGUCUUCCAUGCAGCACCUAAAAUAUUUAUUAGCAACACGAAUGCUGCAAUUUUACUUAAAAGACUCACUGAGCCAGUGAUAACCUCUCCUUUAAGCACAUGCCUUUAAGGGACCUUUGACGAUAUGAAGGGCACUGUGACAGCUGUAAAUUGAAGCAGCUUACCAAAGAUAGAGCUUAUUUUUAACAUUGUUUGCCUCUAGAUUAACCAGAGACUUUUUGUACAACCUUCUACAUUCCUAAAUCCAGAGGUACUUGGGAAAAAGGGCCAUGUAACAAAAACUUGCACGCCAUAAUUCAGGUUAUGUUAGCAAGGAAGAAGCAUGAGGUAUGCACACUGUUACAGGGACAGAGCAGCACAUGCACAACUUAAAGGUAACAGAGAGCUUCAGGACUACUACUACAACUAAACCAGAAAGCUAUUUUGGAGAUGAAGGAGAAGGUUUGAAGUACAAAAAUUGUAUUUAUUUUUUUUUUUUUAAACUUGAACCUCAGACUGACCAGAGCCUGCUCACACAGCAGACCUGAAGAUUCAGUUAUAAAGCUGGGCACGAAUGAAACCUGUCUCCAGAAUCACUAAAGAUGGAAAACAGAUUUUUGAAUGUAGCCACCAAAGUAAAUUCUUCUAUCUUUACACAAAAAGCAAAUUCUGUAAGCUGGGGUUUAGGAGUGCUUCUCGUUCGAGUGAGCAGUGCCAAGAUUUGGAGGAAAACCAAGUGGCAGAUUUUUUGUGAGCUGGUUGUCAGCUGCAAGGUUAAAACUCUCUGCACAGGAAGCACAGUUGAGGAGGGAUUAUUUCAAGCACCUGGAACGAACUCCCACAAGAAGCAAUAAACACUUUAAAUGUAAUUUUCUUUUCCUAACACACUUUGGCCUUUGCUAACAAAUAUAGCACAUAUAUGUAUACACAUAUGGAGUUAGAAUAACAAACUGCAUUUGACAGUGAGUCCUUGCUUAUUGAAAUCUGGGACAGUGUUCACAUGCAAUAACUACAAUGAACACCAUAGUAAAUAUAUUUAUUGACUCGGCAAAAUUAGAAAUUUAUAGCAGUCUUGUGGAGUAGAUUACAACACUUAAGAUAUUAAAUAACAUUAUUACUUUUUGAUAACAAGGUCUAGAUUAAGCAUAUUAUUCUUGUGAUACUUUUAAGGAACAGAUCAACUGCAUUUCUUGUACAGAUGUUAUGAAAAACAAUAAAGUUGGAGAAAGGGCAUUGUGUUUAGUGCAAAACUAACAUUCAAAACUGAAAAACAGUGCAAAAAGCACUACUGAAAAUUUUACAAGCCAGUAGUUCUCACAGUUUGCUAAUAAACCCACAUGAAAUAUUUUCACUUUUUGAGUGUGUUAGGCCUUGUUUUGAAUUCAUAUUAUUGCUUCACCAGUAGCUGUUUCCAGAGAGGAGGUUUCUAAAGGUAGAGACCUCCACCUAUAAAAAGAAUUUGUUAUGUUCUUUGGUAAGCAAUGAUAAUUGUCCAGAAUUAUCAUUACCGGAUUCUUUGAACUGCUAAACUGCCCCUACCUAAUGGAAUUGUUAAAAACUGUAUUUUAAAUAUGUGCUGAUACAAGUUAAGAGCUGUUUUGAGAGUAUGACUUGGGUUCUUCCCAAACACAACAGUCAAAGCAGCUACAAUAAAAAGUGCAGAAGAAAAUUAUUAAAGAUUUCAGUUUUACAGUUUGAAACUGACUAUGCUGGCAAGCAAUUUUCUCUUAACCUUAAAAGAAAAGCUAAAUUACCGUACCAGAAACUUGUACUGAAAGUAUCUUCCAGUACAUCUUUCGACCAUAAUGCAAAGAUUGCACAAAUCAAAUGACAUCAGUAAAAUAAAAGGGUAAGAACUAGAAGUAGUUCUCUUACACUAAGGCUCUUUGUCUGUGGUCCUGAAAGGCAGUUCUGCUCUUUUGAAUUUUGUUAAAUAAAGAUAUUCUGGCUUUCAAGAAGAACAUAACUCCUAAAGACAGACUUGA
Passer domesticus (house sparrow) is the source of this 2736-nucleotide long non-coding RNA. RefSeq lists it as uncharacterized. NCBI's taxonomy places the organism in Eukaryota, Metazoa, Chordata, Aves, Passeriformes, Passeridae. The record is from RefSeq and is a predicted model, not a curated record. The transcript has 3 exons.